GUCGGGAAUUUUGCGCAAUGGACGAAAGUCUGACGCAGCAACGCCGCGUGAGGGAUGAAGGCCUUCGGGUUGUAAACCUCUUUUCUCAGGGACGAUAAUGACGGUACCUGAGGAAUAAGCCACGGCUAACUACGUGCCAGCAGCCGCGGUAAUACGUAGGUGGCGAGCGUUGUCCGGCUUUACUGGGCGUAAAGAGCGCGCAGGCGGUCGUACAAGUCGCGUGUGAAAGCCCCCGGCUCAACUGGGGAGGGUCACGCGAUACUGUUCGACGCGAAGGCAGGAGAGGGAAGUGGAAUUCCCGGUGUAGUGGUGAAAUGCGUAGAUAUCGGGAGGAACACCAGUGGCGAAGGCGACUUCCUGGCCUGUUCUUGACGCUGAGGCGCGAAAGCUAGGGUAGCAAACGGGAUUAGAAACCCGGGUAGUCC
This 425-nucleotide ribosomal RNA is filed under the name uncultured bacterium. RNAcentral describes it as "partial 16S ribosomal RNA". It matches the Rfam family "Bacterial small subunit ribosomal RNA", at positions 354 to 796 of the family's 1533-position model. The record is from RNAcentral.